AACGGGGGGGGCUAGCGUUAUUCAUCGUUAUUGGGCGUAAAGGGGUAUGUAGGCGGCCUGACAAGUCUGAUGUGAAAUCCCUGGGCUCAACCCAGGGCCUGCAUCGGAAACUGUCGGGCUUGAGUAUGGGAGAGGUGAGUGGAAUUUCCGGUGUAGCGGUGAAAUGCGUAGAUAUCGGAAGGAACACCUGUGGCGAAAGCGGCUCACUGGACCAUUACUGACGCUGAGGCACGAAAGCUAGGGGAGCAAACAGG
RNAcentral lists this ribosomal RNA (254 nucleotides) under uncultured bacterium. RNAcentral's name for it is "partial 16S ribosomal RNA". It matches the Rfam family "Bacterial small subunit ribosomal RNA", at positions 524 to 776 of the family's 1533-position model. The record is from RNAcentral.